This 1098-nucleotide long non-coding RNA is filed under the name Heterocephalus glaber (naked mole-rat). RNAcentral's name for it is "lncRNA (ENSHGLG00000037064.1)". The record is from RNAcentral. Lineage: Eukaryota; Metazoa; Chordata; Mammalia; Rodentia; Bathyergidae.
GUGAGAGUGUCUAAUCCGGUCAAGGGUAUGGUAGAUCCUCAAGUUACGACCGGUCUGACUUAAGAACUCAGGUUAAUUAGGCUAAUGGAAGAUUGGUCUGCCUGUUAUAUAUAGCGUGUACCCAGGUAAACACCCAGGUCUCAGCUGUACUGACUUACAACCAGCUUGAGUUACAACCAGCCCUCGGGGACCGAUGAAGUUCGUAAGUCAAGGGUCUUCUGUAUAUUACUGCUAGACCCACAUAGCAUCCUUGUCCUUGGCUUGCUCUCCAGAGUCAGGUAUGCGGAGACCAAAGCCAAGGGGCUGUGUUCCUGCGAGAAUUUACACUGAUUCGAAGAGAGAGCCUUCAUGAAGAUUUCCUGUCUGACCUCUUAAAUAAUCACAAAACUGAAGACUCGGCCCACCUGGUCCCCAGGUGUGAGAACCACAGAAUACUGUUCAUGCCACUGCUGUGGACCAGACAUGUGCUACUGCUCACCUGGAACAAUGACUUUAUUCUUCCUGGCACCCAAAGAGAGAUGUGAGUGGAGAAGGAGCCGCUGCUAUUGCUGAGGGCAAAGGAAAGAAAAAGAAAAUAAAGUUAUAUGCUUUGAGGAAUUUGGUUCCAAUGAAAAAGUCAGAAAGCAGUAAGUCCCACUGGGAACAUGUGAGGCCAGUGGUCCCUCUUGUUCCUGCCAGUUUGAAGGUCAACUGGCUACUGAGAAGGGAGGAAGCAAGGUGAAAACUUUUUCUUCUUUGAAAACCCAAAGUUUAAAUCUAAAAAUACAAACAGUUGCCAGAAUGGAAAGAUCGGAGUAUUCUUGAUUCCAUAUAUGUAUUUGUAAGAAUAAAAUAAGUUCUGGAGUUUGCUUUGGCAUUAAUUAUCUCACACAGGAAACCAUCAUAACAAAAUGGCAAAUUCUGGAAUUUCCAGUUUUCUCUCACCUGAAGAGGACAGAUGUUUUUAUUGUGGCCAGAGAGAGUCCUUACAUUAUUAGAAACAGGAGUGACUUGGAAAAAACAGUUUCCCUCCUUACUGUUUUAUGGAAUUGGCAAGAAGACUUUAUUAGUCUCAAGGCAAAAUUCAGACUAUGAAAUUUUCAAUUUUUUUUUAUUAAA